UCGUGCGAGCGCGCGCCCCGAUCACCGGUAAAGGACGAUGCGGCUGUGUGCGCGCACACCCUCCCCGGACUCGGUGUCUCUGCAGAGCGGACAGCUCCCCGCUCAGUCCUCCUCCGCCGUUGACAACCUAGUAAAAACGCCACGUUUCCGCGCGGCUGUCGAUGCCACAGCCGCGGGGCGAGGAGGCCUGUAAGCUCCACCGCAGUCCGAGCUCCAAUCCGAGACGCAGCACUGCGGUUUGUCCGCUUUGGCCAUGGCGCAGCGGAGGAGGCUCAGAUGAAGGACGCCCUGCGCAUCGGCUAAAAAGCUGGAGGAACUUUCCUACUGCUGAAUUCCUCUGAACACAGAUGUGACACUCCUUCUUUAGAACAGGAAAAUUCUCGACUAGCUACAGAGACUAAACCGACCAGGCCCCACUGGAGGUCCCUAAACCUCCCUUUGGGCACCACCGGACAGAGGGGGCGGUGUAAACAUUGGUAGGAGCAGCAGAAGCCAUGGCAGACGCGGCGGAGUGCGGGGUGAGAGUGAUGUGCCGCUUCAGGCCCCUGAACGAGGCCGAAAUUACCCGAGGAGACAAAUACAUCCCCAAGUUCAAAGAGGACGACACCGUGGUCAUAACGGGCAAACCGUACGUGUUCGACCGCGUGCUGCCUCCCAACACGACGCAGGAGCAAGUGUACGACCAGUGUGCCAAGCAGAUAGUGAAAGAUGUGCUGGGCGGCUACAAUGGGACCAUCUUCGCCUACGGGCAGACGUCCUCCGGGAAGACCCACACCAUGGAGGGCAAACUGCAUGACCCGCAGCUGAUGGGAAUCAUCCCUCGCAUCGCCCGCGACAUCUUCGACCACAUCUACUCGAUGGACGAGAACCUCGAGUUCCACAUCAAGGUCUCUUAUUUUGAAAUCUACUUGGACAAGAUCCGAGACCUGCUGGAUGUGUCAAAGACGAACCUCUCCGUCCACGAAGACAAGAACAGAGUGCCCUAUGUGAAGGGCUGCACUGAGCGUUUUGUGUCCAGUCCAGAGGAGGUGAUGGACGUCAUCGAUGAGGGCAAAUCCAAUCGGCAUGUAGCAGUGACCAACAUGAACGAGCACAGCUCUCGCAGCCACAGCAUCUUCCUCAUCAACAUAAAGCAGGAAAACGUAGAGACGGAGAAGAAGCUGUCUGGGAAGCUCUACCUGGUCGACCUGGCUGGCAGCGAGAAGGUGAGCAAGACGGGAGCUGAGGGGGCGGUGCUGGACGAGGCAAAGAACAUCAACAAAUCUCUCUCAGCGCUGGGAAACGUCAUCUCAGCUCUGGCUGAGGGCACCAAAACCCACGUGCCGUACAGAGACAGUAAGAUGACUCGGAUCCUGCAGGACUCUUUGGGAGGGAACUGUCGCACCACCAUCAUCAUCUGCUGCUCACCGUCCAUCUACAACGAGGCCGAGACCAAGUCCACGCUCAUGUUUGGACAGAGAGCGAAGACCAUCAAGAACACAGUGUCUGUGAACCUGGAGCUGACGGCCGAGGAGUGGAAGAAGAAAUACGAGAAGGAGAAGGAGAAGAACAAGAACCUGAAGAGCAUCAUCCAGAGGCUGGAGGCUGAACUCAACCGCUGGAGAAACGGGGAGAACGUUCCUGAGGAGGAGCAGCAGAGCUCUAAAGAUCAGAGGAGCGGCGAGCCGUACGAUAACACUCCCAUCAUCGACAACCUGCUGCCAGCCGGAGGAGGUGUCUCCGUCUCCGGUGACGAGAGGAGGAAGUACGAGGAGGACGUAAGGAACCUGUACAAACAGCUGGAUGACAAGGAUGACGAAAUUAACCAACACAGUCAGCUGGCGGAGAAACUCAAGGAGCAGAUGAUGGAUCAAGAAGAGCUGCUGGCGUCAACACGACGCGACUAUGACAAGAUCCAGGAGGAGCUGUGCCGGCUGCAGACGGAGAACGAGCUAGCCAAGGAGGAGGUGAAGGAGGUGCUUCAGGCCCUGGAGGAGCUGGCAGUUAACUACGACCAGAAGAGCCAAGAGGUGGAGGAGCGAAACCAAGCCAACGCGCAGCUUACCGAGAAGCUGCAGCACAAGACGGCGCUGCUGUCGGUGCUUGAGAGGGAGGUGAGUCAGCUGCAGGAGCUAAACGGCCUGCAGAGAAAGCGUGCUGCCGAGGUCCUCAACCUUCUGCUGAGAGACCUCAGUGACAUCGGUGCCAUCAUCGGCACCAGCGAUGUCAAGACGGCUGCGUGCUCAGAGAUGAAGGGGAACGGCUCGGCGCUGGAGGAGGACUUUACCGUUGCUCGCCUCUACAUCAGCAAGAUGAAGUCCGAGGUCAAGUCUUUGGUCAACCGCAGCAAGCAGCUGGAGAGCGCCCAGGCCGACGCCCACCGCAAGAUUCAGGCGAACGAGAAGGAGCUGGCGUCCUGUCAGCUGCUCAUCUCCCAGCAUCAGGCCAAGAUAAAGUCUCUGACCGACUACAUGCAGAACAUGGAGCAGAAGAAAAGGCAGCUGGAGGAGAGCCAGGACGCUCUCACCGAAGAGCUCGCCAAACUGCACGCUCAAGAGAAAAUGCACGAGGAAAAGGAGAAGGAGGACAUCGGCAGAGCGGGCGGAGACGAUGACAUCAAGAAAACGCUGGAGGAGCAGCUGGAGAACCACAGGGAGGCUCAUCAGAAGCAGCUCAGCCGCCUGCGGGAUGAGAUCGAAGACAAACAGAGGAUGCUGGACGAGUUCAGAGAUCUAAAUCAGGGGCUGUUACUGGAGCAGGAGCGACUCAUGUCGGAUUACUACAAACUGCAGGCGGAGGAGCAGGAGAAGAAUGCAAAGCUGGAGAGGCUCGUGCUGCUGAAUGAACAAAGGGAGCAGGCCCGAGAGGACCUGAAGGGUCUGGAGGAGACUGUGGCCAAAGAGCUGCAAACUCUGCACAACCUGCGCAAACUCUUCGUCCAGGACCUCACUGCACGGGUUAAGAAGAGUGCAGAGCUUGACUGUGAGGAGGGACUCAGCAACAUUGCACAGAAACAGAAAAUCUCAUUCUUGGAGAACAAUUUGGAGCAGCUGACUAAGGUCCACAAACAGCUGGUCCGGGACAACGCAGACCUUCGCUGCGAACUGCCCAAGCUAGAGAAGCGUCUGCGAGCCACGGCCGAGCGAGUCAAAGCGCUGGAGAACGCCUUGAAGGAGGCCAAGGAGAACGCCAUGAGGGACCGCAAGCGCUACCAGCAGGAGGUGGACCGCAUCAAAGAGGCUGUGCGGGCCAAGAACAUGGCCAGGAGGGGAUACUCUGCACAGAUCGCAAAGCCUAUCCGGCCCGGACAUCAUCCACUGUCCUCCCCGAUCUGCAGCUCCAUCAGAGCCGGAGGUGUUGAUAUUCAUAACAACUGAACCCACAACAGCAACAUAAUCCUACGACCAUAAACAACUCAGUGCAUGCUCACCACCCCACCUGGAUCCACAAGCAACGCCCCUCCUCUUGGAGCACCAAUGGGAGGCCUUCACGACAGACUGUCAUCGCUCGGAGAAGCACCAUCCAAACAUUGUACGACCAUAAACAACUCAGUGCAUGCUCACCACCCCACCUGGAUCCACAAGCAACGCCCCUCCUCUUGGAGCACCAAUGGGAGGCCUUCACGACAGACUGUCAUCGCUCGGAGAAGCACCAUCCAAACAUUGUGUAAAUACUGAUGAGACAUAUUUAAUUUGCUGAAUGUAGAUCUCAGAGGCCUCGUUUAUAACACAUUCACUGUUAUAAGUUUAGUUUUCUGGAUCUUCUGAUGGUAGAUUGUCGUUAUUAUGCAACAGGGCAGCACGGUGGCACGGUGGUUAGCACUGUUGCCGCACAGCAAGAAGGUCCUGAGUUCAAUUCCAACAUCA
Molecule: non-coding RNA, 3845 nt
Organism: Maylandia zebra (zebra mbuna)
Lineage: Eukaryota; Metazoa; Chordata; Actinopteri; Cichliformes; Cichlidae
Source: RefSeq, a predicted model, not a curated record